RNAcentral lists this ribosomal RNA (549 nucleotides) under uncultured Rhizophagus. RNAcentral describes it as "SSU rRNA". It matches the Rfam family "Eukaryotic small subunit ribosomal RNA", at positions 548 to 1098 of the family's 1831-position model. The record is from RNAcentral. Lineage: Eukaryota; Fungi; Glomeromycota; Glomeromycetes; Glomerales; Glomeraceae.
UUGGAGGGCAAGUCUGGUGCCAGCAGCCGCGGUAAUUCCAGCUCCAAUAGCGUAUAUUAAAGUUGUUGCAGUUAAAAAGCUCGUAGUUGAAUUUCGGGGUCAGUAGGUUGGUCAUGCCACAGGUAUGUACUGGUCUCACUGAUUCCUCCUUCCUGAUGAACUGUAAUGCCAUUAAUUUGGUGUUGCAGGAAAUCUGGACUGUUACUUUGAAAAAAUUAGAGUGUUUAAAGCAGACUAACGCCUGAAUACAUUAGCAUGGAAUAAUGAAAUAGGACGUUCGAUCCUAUUUUGUUGGUUUCUAGGAUUGACGUAAUGAUUAAUAGGGAUAGUUGGGGGCAUUAGUAUUCAAUUGUCAGAGGUAAAAUUCUUGGAUUUAUUGAAGACUAACUACUGCGAAAGCAUUUGCCAAGGAUGUUUUCAUUAAUCAAGAACGAAAGUUAGGGGAUCGAAGACGAUCAGAUACCGUCGUAGUCUUAACCAUAAACUAUGCCGACUAGGGAUCGGAUGAUGUUAAUUUUUUAAUGACUCAUUCGGCGCCUUACGGGAAAC